This 2576-nucleotide ribosomal RNA is filed under the name human gut metagenome. RNAcentral describes it as "bacterial LSU rRNA". It matches the Rfam family "Bacterial large subunit ribosomal RNA", at positions 14 to 2615 of the family's 2925-position model. The record is from RNAcentral.
AGAGCGCAAGGGGAAUGCCUUGGCAUCAGGAGCCGACGAAGGACGUGACAAGCUGCGAUAAGCUUCGGGGAGGAGCAAAUAUCCGUUGAUCCGGAGAUUUCCGAAUGGGGAAACCCACGUAGGCAAUACCUACGUAUCGUGCGUUGAAUCAAAUAGGCGUACGAGGGGAACGCCCUGAACUGAAACAUCUAAGUAGGGGCAGGAAAAGACAUCAACCGAGAUUCCGCAAGUAGUGGCGAGCGAACGCGGAGGAGGCCAAACCGGUGGAUUUAUUCACCGGGGUUAGGACUUGCAUCACGAUCAGAGGAGCUUAACAGAACGGCAUGGGAAGGCCGGCCACAGAGGGUGAGAGCCCCGUAAGUGAAAAGUGAGACUGACAGCGAGUAUCCAGAGUACCGCGGGACACGUGAAACCCCGCGGGAAGAAGGGUGGACCACCAUCCAAGCCUAAAUACUACCUGAUGACCGAUAGAGGAGCAGUACCGUGAGGGAAAGGUGAAAAGGACCCCGGGAGGGGAGUGAAAGAGAACCUGAAACCUUGUGCUUACAAGCACUCAAAGCACGUUAAAGUGUGAUGAGGUACUUUUUGUAGAACGGUCCGGCGAGUUAUAGUAACGAGCAAGCUUAAGGUAUUCAGUACCGGAGGCGAAGCGAGAGCGAGUCUGAAUAGGGCGCAUAAAGUUCGUUGCCAUAGACCCGAAACCGGGUGACCUAACCAUGAGCAGGCUGAAGUGAGAGUAAAAUCUCAUGGAGGGCCGAACGCACGUUCGUUGCAAUGACCGGCGAUGACUUGUGGUUAGCGGAGAAAUUCCAAUCGAACUCGGAGAUAGCUGGUUCUCCCCGAAAUAGCUUUAGGGCUAGCCUCGAUUUAGAUUAUUGGGGGUAGAGCACUGAAUGGGCUAGGGGGCCACAAAGCUUACUGAACCCUAUCAAACUGCGAAUACCAAUUAAUUGAUGAUCGGGAGUCAGACAGUGAGAGAUAAGUUCCAUUGUCGAAAGGGAAACAGCCCAGAUCCACGACUAAGGUCCCAAAAUACACGUUAAGUGGAAAAGGAUGUGCAGUUGCACAGACAACCAGGAUGUUGGCUUAGAAGCAGCCACUCAUUCAAAGAGUGCGUAAUAGCUCACUGGUCGAGUGAAUGUGCGCCGAAAAUAUACCGGGGCUAAACGUGAUACCGAAGUCUGGGGAUCAAGAAAUUGAUCGGUAGGGGAGCAACGCAUACGGACAGAAGCAGAAGCGGGAGCGACUGUGGACUGUAUGGGAGAGAGAAUGCCGGCAUGAGUAGCGAGAGCAAAGUGAGAAUCUUUGCCGUCGAAAGCCUAAGGUUUCCUGAGGAAGGCUCGUCCUCUCAGGGUAAGUCGGGACCUAAGCCGAGGACAAGAGUCGUAGGCGAUGGACAACAGGUUGAUAUUCCUGUACCGUACUUAAGCGUUUGACUGAAGCAGUGACACAGAAGGAUAGACAGACCGGGGGAAUGGUAGACUCCGGCCAAGCAGUGAGGCUGACAUGUAGUGAAGUACGCAUGUUAAGGCUGGGCUGUGAUGGGGACUGAAGAUUAGUAAGGAAGCUGUUGAAUUCACACUGGCGAGAAAAGCUGCUAAGGAGCGAGAGUAUGCCCGUACCGCAAACCGACACAGGUAGGCGAGGAGAGAAUCCUAAGACGAGCGGGAGAACCCUUGUUAAGGAACUCGGCAAAAUGACUCCGUAACUUAGGGAGAAGGAGUGCCUCGAGAGAGGCCGCAGAGAAUAGGCCCAAGCGACUGUUUACCAAAAACACAGGUCUGUGCGAAGUAGAGAUACGACGUAUACGGGCUGACGCCUGCCCAGUGCCGGAAGGUUAAGGGGAAGUGUUAGGGCAACCGAAGCACGGAACUUAAGCCCCGGUGAACGGCGGCCGUAACUAUAACGGUCCUAAGGUAGCGAAAUUCCUUGUCGGGUAAGUUCCGACCCGCACGAAUGGUGUAACGAUUUGGGUACUGUCUCAACAAGGGACCCGGCGAAAUUGUAGUAUGUGUGAAGAUGCACAUUACCCGCGAUAGGACGGAAAGACCCCGUAGAGCUUUACUGUAGUUUAACAUUGGAUUCCGGUAACAUAUGCACAGGAUAGGUGGGAGGCGGAGAAGCAGUGAUUUCGGUUGCUGCAGAGCCGACGUUGGGAUACCACUCUUGUGUUACUGGGGUUCUAACCUGUGGCCGUGAUCCGGCACAGGAACAGUGUUAGAUGGGCAGUUUGACUGGGGCGGUCGCCUCCAAAAGAGUAACGGAGGCGUCCAAAGGUUCCCUCAGAAUGGUUGGAAACCAUUCGAAGAGUACAAAGGCAGAAGGGAGCCUGACUGCGAGACCGACAGGUCGAGCAGGGACGAAAGUCGGGCUUAGUGAUCCGGCGGUAUAGAGUGGAAUUGCCGUCGCUCAACGGAUAAAAGCUACCUCGGGGAUAACAGGCUUAUCUCCCCCAAGAGUCCACAUCGACGGGGAGGUUUGGCACCUCGAUGUCGGCUCGUCGCAUCCUGGGGCUGGAUUAGGUCCCAAGGGUUUGGCUGUUCGCCAAUUAAAGCGGCACGCGAGCUGGGUUCAGA